Molecule: ribosomal RNA, 625 nt
Filed under: Hepatozoon felis
Lineage: Eukaryota; Apicomplexa; Hepatozoidae
Description: SSU rRNA
Rfam family: Eukaryotic small subunit ribosomal RNA
Source: RNAcentral
UUUUUUAGAAGAGAUGCAUUUAUUAGAUAAAAAACCAAUACAUGCUUUUAAAGUAUGGAAUUUGGUGAUUUACAAUAACUUAGCAAAUCGCAUAGUGAAAACAGGCGAUAAAUCAUUCAAGUUUCUGACCUAUCAGCUUUCGACGGUAUGGUAUUGGCUUACCGUGGCAGUGACGGUUAACGGGGGAUUAGGGUUCGAUUCCGGAGAGGGAGCCUGAGAAACGGCUACCACAUCUAAGGAAGGCAGCAGGCGCGCAAAUUACCCAAUUCUAACAGCAUAAGAGAGGUAGUGACAAGAAAUAACAAUACAAGGCAGUUAAAAUGCUUUGUAAUUGGAAUGAUAGAAAUUUAAACACUUUUUAAAGUAUCAAUUGGAGGGCAAGUCUGGUGCCAGCAGCCGCGGUAAUUCCAGCUCCAAUAGCGUAUAUUAAAAUUGUUGCAGUUAAAAAGCUCGUAGUUGAAUUUCUGCUAAAAAUAACCGGUCUGCUUUUAAUAAAGGUGGUAUCUUGGUGUGUUUUUAGCAAUAAUGUCCUUUGAAAUGUUUAUUACUUCAUUGUAAUAAAUUAUUUUCAGGAUUUUUACUUUGAGAAAAUUAGAGUGUUUCUAGCAGGCUAACGCUUUGAAUA